GACGAACGCUGGCGGCGUGCUUAACACAUGCAAGUCGAACGCUGAAGCUCAGCUUUUGUUGGGUGGAUGAGUGGCGAACGGGUGAGUAACACGUGAGUAACCUGCCCCCUUCUUUGGGAUAACGCCCGGAAACGGGUGCUAAUACUGGAUAUUCACUGGUCUUCGCCUGGGGGUUGGUGGAAAGGGUUUUUCUGGUGGGGGUUGGGCUCGCGGCCUAUCCGCUUGUUGGUGGGGUGAUGGCCUACCAAGGCUUUGACGGGUAGCCGGCCUGGGAGGGUGACCGGUCACAUUGGGACUGAGAUACGGCCGAGACUGCGACGGGGGGCAGAAUUGGAGGAUAUGGCGCAGUGGGGGAAAGUCUGAUGCGGCGGCGCGGCUGAAGGGGUGAAGGCCUGCGGGUUGUGAACCUCUUUGGCUCAUGAUGAAGCCGCAACAAUGGUUGUGGUGAGGGUAGUGGGUAAAGAAGCGCCGGCUAACUACGUG
RNAcentral lists this ribosomal RNA (483 nucleotides) under uncultured bacterium. RNAcentral describes it as "partial 16S ribosomal RNA". It matches the Rfam family "Bacterial small subunit ribosomal RNA", at positions 28 to 507 of the family's 1533-position model. The record is from RNAcentral.